AUUUGGUCAAAUCUCAGCCAAUGAGGAGCUAACCUCUAAACUUGACUAUCUGAGGAUACAUCAUCAUCCCUUAGCCGAUCCGACGACCGUUCACCAACGUUUUUAUUUCUGCUACUUUCAAAGAAAUGAUCGAAUGGAGAUUUAACAGACUUCAACGAUCUCUUUGAUGGAGUGGCAUUCACCUCAUCACUGCCUCCCACCCCAUGCUUUGACGAUGGAACCGAACCGCUUCUUGAAAAAAGAGGAGCCACAGUCAAUCCCCCCCGGUCCCCGUCCGGCCGCCCUUCCCUAUCGAACCUCUCGUGGUAG
RNAcentral lists this unclassified non-coding RNA (309 nucleotides) under Hevea brasiliensis (rubber tree). Lineage: Eukaryota; Viridiplantae; Streptophyta; Magnoliopsida; Malpighiales; Euphorbiaceae. The record is from RNAcentral.